UGGCUCAGGACGAACGCUGGCGGCGUGCUUAACACAUGCAAGUCGAGCGGAAAGGCUCCUUCGGGGGUACUCGAGCGGCGAACGGGUGAGUAACACGUGAGUAAUCUGCCCCUGGCUUUGGGAUAGCCACCGGAAACGGUGAUUAAUACCGGAUACGACCACUUCUCGCAUGGGAUGGUGGUGGAAGUUUUUCGGCCAGGGAUGUGCUCGCGGCCUAUCAGCUUGAUGGUGAGGUAAUGGCUCACCAUGGCUUCGACGGGUAGCCGGCCUGAGAGGGUGACCGGUCACACUGGGACUGAGACACGGCCCCA
RNAcentral lists this ribosomal RNA (311 nucleotides) under Nocardioides sp. RNAcentral's name for it is "bacterial SSU rRNA". It matches the Rfam family "Bacterial small subunit ribosomal RNA", at positions 20 to 333 of the family's 1533-position model. Lineage: Bacteria; Bacillati; Actinomycetota; Actinomycetes; Propionibacteriales; Nocardioidaceae. The record is from RNAcentral.